RNAcentral lists this ribosomal RNA (253 nucleotides) under uncultured bacterium. RNAcentral describes it as "partial 16S ribosomal RNA". It matches the Rfam family "Bacterial small subunit ribosomal RNA", at positions 524 to 776 of the family's 1533-position model. The record is from RNAcentral.
UACGAAGGGGGCUAGCGUUGCUCGGAAUCACUGGGCGUAAAGGGUGCGUAGGCGGGUCUUUAAGUCGGGGGUGAAAUCCUGGAGCUCAACUCCAGAACUGCCUUUGAUACUGAGGAUCUUGAGUUCGGGAGAGGUGAGUGGAACUGCGAGUGUAGAGGUGAAAUUCGUAGAUAUUCGCAAGAACACCAGUGGCGAAGGCGGCUCACUGGCCCGAUACUGACGCUGAGGCACGAAAGCCAGGGGAGCGAACGGG